Molecule: long non-coding RNA, 851 nt
Filed under: Rattus norvegicus (Norway rat)
Lineage: Eukaryota; Metazoa; Chordata; Mammalia; Rodentia; Muridae
Description: long non-coding RNA NONRATT000172
Source: RNAcentral
GGCUUCUUCCAGUCAACAUCACUUGAUUAAAUUCUCCUCAAAUUAAGUAACUGAAUUCUAGGUAUUUCAUGGUUAUUAGCAAUUUGUGAAUGUCACAAUGUCUCAUUGGAUCCAUAAAUUGGAAACAGUCAACUACAUAGAGGCCUAUAGGAAGAGUAUAUUAACCAACAUGAAAGCUAGUGUUAGAUUUAUUUGGCUCUAGUGUCAUCAAAACAAAAGUUGUGGGUGAAUAUACACUGCCCAUUUGAAUGUAUAGCUUGAGAAAAACAGGGACCACCACAUCUAGAAAUACUCAGCUCUCAUGGGCAUACAAAGAAAAGCUUUUGCAUGUUGGUGCUUUUCAUGUAAUGUUCAUUCUGUAAUCAAAGGCCAGGGGCUCAAAAUCAAGGUCGAAUUGUUCUGUCACAGGGAUAGAGUGGCUUUGGGCAAGCCCCUGGGGUGUCUGGCCUCCUCAUGUCCAUCUCUUAAAUGAAAAGGCAUGCCUCACAAGCUCAAACACUACAUUCUAACUCCUGUAGUCUGAGAGGUCAAAAUUUAGCAGCUCAUCUUCCCCUUGCCAGGGUGAAAGUAUGUUUCAAAACCUGCUACCUAUGUAGAAAACAUUUUCAUGAGCCUGUAAGCUAUCUACUGUCUCCUGAACAGAAACCAGCAGGUUUACCCCUAAGUUUGUUUAGAAUAAUGUUUAUUAUACUAAAAAUUAUAGAAGCAUCAAAUGCAAGUACAGUGGAAGUCCCCUCUGAGUGUGUUGUACUCGGUGAGCAUUCUCAAGAAAAAUAAAGCACUACCUGGAUGUAAAACUGGGGGUGGGUUCAGAAAGAAGAGUGCUGGCAAAGGCUCGCCUCUUUUGGUGU